This is a long non-coding RNA of Herpailurus yagouaroundi (jaguarundi), 1505 nucleotides long. RefSeq lists it as uncharacterized. NCBI's taxonomy places the organism in Eukaryota, Metazoa, Chordata, Mammalia, Carnivora, Felidae. The transcript has 3 exons. The record is from RefSeq and is a predicted model, not a curated record.
ACCAAAGCAAAGCUGGUCCCAGUGAAGGCGCCCCCAGCCGUAAGGGAGGCACAGGCGGUUUUAGGAGAGGGAAAGGUUUUUCUUGACGACUUCUAAGUUUGCAUCCUUCUUAAAAAGGGAGGUGCUGGAUGACCCACAGCCUUGGGUCCCCAAGCUCUGAAGCAGCAGGUCUAGGAGGGGAGGCAGACAGUAAUCAAAUAACCGUGCACAUCCAUGUGUGAUGAUGAACUAUGCCAAGUGCCAUGCAAGGGAGCUGGGGGCUUUGACAGCAGAUGAGAACAUUGAAGCCGAGAGAGGUUAAGUGACUUUCCCAAGGCCUUGCUGCCAACGAGUGCAAGAGCAGACUCAAACUUGCCAUUCCUGACUCCAAAGUGCCUACUUUUAACCUCUUCCAUUCCUUCCUCCCCUCUCUCCCUUCGGUUCUUCUCUUCCUCCUUCUCUCCCUCUCUCUCCCUUCCUGGCUUCUAUAGACAUGUACAAGCUCACAGUGAACUGGAGGCUGGUUAUUCACACUCCGCCAUUGCUCUGUGCUUUACACGCGUGUCGUUUCAUAACAAGGAUGUGAUUCACGCUCAACUUUGGAGGACACCUCUAUCCGUAUAACGUUGCCAAGUUCCUCGGCAAAUGUUAAGGUGUUGAGGGAGAAUCACUGACAUUUCGGAGUUGGGAGUGCACCCUCUUCUUUUCACACAGACGGAAUGAGGCCCGGAGAGGAGAGAAGGUUUGUCUGGGGAUGAGGUGGAUCGCCAGCCAAGGAGCGAAGACCAGAAACCGGAAGGCCCCCCCCCCCCGCCCCCAUGAUCCUUACCCCAUUGCAGCCACCACCCAGGGCACACAGCCCACUCUGAGAAAUCAGGGAAUCCCUUAGAAGACCAGGACACCCCAGGGAAUGCAAUAGAAAGGAUUCCUCAGAUGGACACAGAACCCGUACCCCGGCAGCACAAAGGCACCACCAGCCAUUCUAAGAGCCCUGACCCCCACCCCCACCCCCACCCCGGGCCUUAGGCUGCCAGAGGAGAGUCUCUCUUCAGAUGAAUAUGCUGCUAUGCAAGUGCUGUGGAGAAUGACAUUUCUACUUAAAGGGGUCGUAUUUCUACCCUGUUGAGUAGAGGACAGGAAAAGCGGAACCUGAGGGAGGUAAACAUGGCUGAGCCAUAAGGGGCUCCCUUUCCUCCCUCCUUCCCCGCCUCAGGGCCCAUGCUGGUGGUGGCUGUGGCUGUUGAGUAUUGGCUGAGAUUUCCAAUACCUUUUGGGGAUACCAGAUGUGAGAGUCUGAGGCUCUGGAGUCAGGCAGACUUGACUUCCAAACCAGGUCCUGACACCGAAGAGUCUCUGUUUUCCCAUCCUUAAAAUGGGAAUAACAGCCUUACCAUGAAUUUUUCGAGGGUGUUUGGAGAACAAGCCUGAGUUGUCAUAAACACAAAGCAAGGGGUACCAUGUCUGGCAAAGUGGGAAAAUGGAAUGGAAUAAGUAACAGGCCUGCUCCUGGCACGUCCGCAAAGUUA